GACGAACGCUGGCGGCGUGCUUAACACAUGCAAGUCGAACGGAAAGGCCCUGCUUGCCGGGUACUCGAGUGGCGAACGGGUGAGUAACACGUGGGUGAUCUGCCCUGCACUUCGGGAUAAGCCUGGUAAACUGGGUCUAAUACCGGAUAUGACCUUCCAUGAAGUGUGGGGGGCGGUAGGAUUUAGCGGUUUGGGUUGAGCUCGCGGCCUAUCAGCUUGUUGGUGGGGUAAUGGCCUACCAAGGCGUCUACGGGUAGCCGGCAUUGGAGGGUGGACGGCCACAUUGGGACUACGAUAGGGACCAGAAGCCUACGGGAGGCAGUAGGGGGAAGUAUUGCACAAUGGGCGGAAGUCUUAUGCGAAGGCGUUGGGUGGGGAAUGCCGGCCUUCGGGUUGUAAACCUCUGUCGACAUAGACGAAGCUGCGGUGACGGUACCUGUAUAAGAAGCACCGGCUAACUACGUG
Molecule: ribosomal RNA, 465 nt
Filed under: uncultured bacterium
Lineage: Bacteria
Description: partial 16S ribosomal RNA
Rfam family: Bacterial small subunit ribosomal RNA
Source: RNAcentral